RNAcentral lists this long non-coding RNA (199 nucleotides) under Carica papaya (papaya). RNAcentral's name for it is "long non-coding RNA (CPAP_LNC012864)". The record is from RNAcentral. Lineage: Eukaryota; Viridiplantae; Streptophyta; Magnoliopsida; Brassicales; Caricaceae.
GAGAGCUAGUGUAGAUAGCUGGAAAGAUAUAAAGCAAUAGCCCUGAUUGAGUGCUUAGCUAAAUUAUAUCAAAUUUGAGGUGUCUGCUUCUUCCACUUUUAUAUUCUGCCACUCCACUUCUGCCAUUCUCAAUUUUCAUCCACUCAUUAUCAUAAUUAUUGACCCUAUCUACUCUUUUUUCCUGCCUCUCCAAUUAAUU